UAAUCUCCCAAUGGAAGGCCUUCUUGUG
RNAcentral lists this non-coding RNA (28 nucleotides) under Mus musculus (house mouse). The record is from RNAcentral. Lineage: Eukaryota; Metazoa; Chordata; Mammalia; Rodentia; Muridae.